This 606-nucleotide ribosomal RNA is filed under the name uncultured bacterium. Its description in RNAcentral is "bacterial SSU rRNA". It matches the Rfam family "Bacterial small subunit ribosomal RNA", at positions 331 to 929 of the family's 1533-position model. The record is from RNAcentral.
CCAGACUCUUACGGGAGGCAGCAGUAGGGAAUCUUCGGCAAUGGACGAAAGUCUGACCGAGCAACGCCGCGUGAGUGAAGAAGGUUUUCGGAUCGUAAAACUCUGUUGGUAGAGAAGAACGUUGGUGAGAGUGGAAAGCUCAUCAAGUGACGGUAACUACCCAGAAAGGGACGGCUAACUACGUGCCAGCAGCCGCGGUAAUACGUAGGUCCCGAGCGUUGUCCGGAUUUAUUGGGCGUAAAGCGAGCGCAGGUGGUUUAUUAAGUCUGGUGUAAAAGGCAGUGGCUCAACCAUUGUAUGCAUUGGAAACUGGUAGACUUGAGUGCAGGAGAGGAGAGUGGAAUUCCAUGUGUAGCGGUGAAAUGCGUAGAUAUAUGGAGGAACACCGGUGGCGAAAGCGGCUCUCUGGCCUGUAACUGACACUGAGGCUCGAAAGCGUGGGGAGCAAACAGGAUUAGAUACCCUGGUAGUCCACGCCGUAAACGAUGAGUGCUAGAUGUAGGGAGCUAUAAGUUCUCUGUAUCGCAGCUAACGCAAUAAGCACUCCGCCUGGGGAGUACGACCGCAAGGUUGAAACUCAAAGGAAUUGACGGGGGCCCGCACAAG